UAAGGAAUUUUCGGCAAUGGGGGGAAACCCUGACCGAGCAACGCCGCGUGAGCGAUGAAGGCCUUCGGGUCGUAAAGCUCUGUUGCGAAGGAAGAACACCGCCAUCAGGAAAUGGAUGGCGGCUGACGGUACUUCGUCAGAAAGUCACGGCUUACUACGUGCCAGCAGCCGCGGUAAUACGUAGGUGGCAAGCGUUAUCCGGAUUUAUUGGGCGUAAAGGGUGCGCAGGCGGCCUGCCAAGUUCGAGGUGAAAGCGUUGGGCUCAACCCAAUACAGCUUCGAAUACUGGCAGGCUCGAGUGCAGGAGAGGAUGUCGGAAAUUCCAUGUGUAGCGGUAAAAUGCGUAGAUAUAUGGAGGAACACCAGCGGC
This 370-nucleotide ribosomal RNA is filed under the name uncultured Anaerorhabdus sp. RNAcentral describes it as "bacterial SSU rRNA". It matches the Rfam family "Bacterial small subunit ribosomal RNA", at positions 355 to 716 of the family's 1533-position model. The record is from RNAcentral. Lineage: Bacteria; Bacillati; Bacillota; Erysipelotrichia; Erysipelotrichales; Erysipelotrichaceae.